RNAcentral lists this ribosomal RNA (301 nucleotides) under uncultured bacterium. Its description in RNAcentral is "partial 16S ribosomal RNA". It matches the Rfam family "Bacterial small subunit ribosomal RNA", at positions 509 to 807 of the family's 1533-position model. The record is from RNAcentral.
CAGUCGCCGCGGGAAUACGGAGGGUGCGAGCGUUAAUCGGAAUUACUGGGCGUAAAGCGUACGCAGGCGGUUUGUUAAGUCAGAUGUGAAAUCCCCGGGCUUAACCCGGGAACUGCAUUUGAAACUGGCAGGCUAGAGUCUCGUAGAGGGGGGUAGAAUUCCAGGUGUAGCGGUGAAAUGCGUAGAGAUCUGGAGGAAUACCGGUGGCGAAGGCGGCCCCCUGGACGAAUACUGACGCUCAUGCACGAAAGCGUGGGGAGCAAACAGGAUUAGAUACCCCAGUAGUCCCUGUCUCUUAUAC